UACGAAGGGGGCUAGCGUUGCUCGGAUUGACUGGGCGUAAAGGGCGCGUAGGCGGUUCGUACAGUCAGACGUGAAAUUCCUGGGCUCAACCUGGGGGCUGCGUUUGAUACGUGCGGACUUGAGUGCGGAAGAGGGUCGUGGAAUUCCCAGUGUAGAGGUGAAAUUCGUAGAUAUUGGGAAGAACACCGGUGGCGAAAGCGGCUUCCUGGUCCAGUACCGACGUUCAGGCACGAAAGCGUGGGGAGCAAACAGG
RNAcentral lists this ribosomal RNA (253 nucleotides) under uncultured bacterium. RNAcentral describes it as "partial 16S ribosomal RNA". It matches the Rfam family "Bacterial small subunit ribosomal RNA", at positions 524 to 776 of the family's 1533-position model. The record is from RNAcentral.